AUUUAAUAUUAUUAUUGUUAAUUAUUGGUUAUAAAUUUUUAGUUCUUGUUUAAUCCGUCUAUAAUUCCAAGAACAAGGGAAUGCUGUGCAGAAGAAGAACAAUAUGAAGCUGAAGUCCAUGGCAUGUUCAAAGUUUGAAGGAAAAAUAAUAUCUGAUCAUUUUCAUGGGGAAUUUUCUAUCAAGGCGAAGAAGAAGUUCAUAGAAUCGGUUUCAGAAAAGAAAACAUGGCCCGAAUAAUCAAAGAGUAUCCUGAAUAAUAUUCAGGAGAGAAUUUUAAUCUCUAGGCAAGUCUGUUAUUCUUGGCUUUCAGUUAUCCUCCUUUUACCUCAUUUUUUUCCCUUGCUUCCCUUCAGAACUUGUUUGGUUGCCAAGCUUGGCGGAUAUAUACUGAUUAGAAUAAGGCAUGGAAUGUUGAACCCAUCUUUGGUUGCAAGAUUUCUUUUAUUUCUCUGUAUUGUGUUUUAAUAAUAUUGACAGCCGAACAAAUUAAUUUUCUUGGAGUGCUUGCUUUUGUGCUUCAACAUUGUGAGACACAAAAUUACAAUAUCCUUAUAAAAUACAGGAGUUUAAUA
Long non-coding RNA from Mangifera indica (mango), 573 nucleotides. RefSeq lists it as uncharacterized. The record is from RefSeq and is a predicted model, not a curated record. The transcript is spliced from 2 exons. Lineage: Eukaryota; Viridiplantae; Streptophyta; Magnoliopsida; Sapindales; Anacardiaceae.